RNAcentral lists this long non-coding RNA (338 nucleotides) under Vulpes vulpes (red fox). Its description in RNAcentral is "lncRNA (ENSVVUG00000017420.1)". The record is from RNAcentral. Lineage: Eukaryota; Metazoa; Chordata; Mammalia; Carnivora; Canidae.
GGAUUACAGCAAGGAUGAAGAUAGAUUGGGACUCUUAGUGGACUUCAUCCAUGUUGGACCUCUUAAAGUAGAGCAGUAGGAACAGACAGAAACAGUGUAGAAGAAGGACUUAUUCUCACAAAGGAUAUGAGCGAAGCUGGAGAAGAUACCUGUGACAUGUUCAUCCCCAAAUGAUAGCAUUUGCGAUGCAACUCUAUGAUCUUCUGCUUCCUUGUUUAUAUAGAUGAUGAAUGUGUACAAAAUAUAACACAACUAACAGGAAAUGCUCACAGUUGGGAAAAUGUGCUUCAUGACUGAUAAAUUAGAUACCAGCUUCCAAAAGAACUACUAACAAUUUG